UACAGAGGUCUCAAGCGUUGUUCGGAUUCAUUGGGCGUAAAGGGUGCGUAGGUGGCGGGGUAAGUCAGGUGUGAAAUUUCGGAGCUUAACUCCGAAACUGCAUUCGAUACUGCGGUGCUUGAGGACUGGAGAGGAGACUGGAAUUUACGGUGUAGCAGUGAAAUGCGUAGAGAUCGUAAGGAAGACCAGUGGCGAAGGCGGGUCUCUGGACAGUUCCUGACACUGAGGCACGAAGGCCAGGGGAGCAAACGGG
This 253-nucleotide ribosomal RNA is filed under the name uncultured bacterium. RNAcentral's name for it is "partial 16S ribosomal RNA". It matches the Rfam family "Bacterial small subunit ribosomal RNA", at positions 524 to 776 of the family's 1533-position model. The record is from RNAcentral.